ACCUAAACGGGAUUGUAGUGGCAGCUCCCGAUUUUCCUUUAAAAAUCGGGACUAUAACGAAAAGCCCGACCAACA
RNAcentral lists this small RNA (75 nucleotides) under Pedobacter sp. SG908. Its description in RNAcentral is "Flavo-1 RNA". It matches the Rfam family "Flavo-1 RNA". The record is from RNAcentral. Lineage: Bacteria; Pseudomonadati; Bacteroidota; Sphingobacteriia; Sphingobacteriales; Sphingobacteriaceae. RNAcentral also lists the same sequence under 1 other name.